Molecule: ribosomal RNA, 533 nt
Filed under: uncultured bacterium
Lineage: Bacteria
Description: partial 16S ribosomal RNA
Rfam family: Bacterial small subunit ribosomal RNA
Source: RNAcentral
UGGGGAAUUUUGGACAAUGGGCGAAAGCCUGAUCCAGCAAUGCCGCGUGUGUGAAGAAGGCCUUCGGGUUGUAAAGCACUUUUGUCCGGAAAGAAAUCCUUGGCUCUAAUACAGUCGGGGGAUGACGGUACCGGAAGAAUAAGCACCGGCUAACUACGUGCCAGCAGCCGCGGUAAUACGUAGGGUGCAAGCGUUAAUCGGAAUUACUGGGCGUAAAGCGUGCGCAGGCGGUUUGCUAAGACCGAUGUGAAAUCCCCGGGCUCAACCUGGGAACUGCAUUGGUGACUGGCAGGCUAGAGUAUGGCAGAGGGGGGUAGAAUUCCACGUGUAGCAGUGAAAUGCGUAGAGAUGUGGAGGAAUACCGAUGGCGAAGGCAGCCCCCUGGGCAAUACUGACGCUCAUGCACGAAAAGCGUGGGGGAGCAAACAGGAUUAGAUACCCUGGUAGUCCACGCCCUAAAACGAUGUCAACUAGUUGUUGGGGAUUCAUUUCCUUAGUAACGUAGCUAACGCGUGAAGUUGACCGCCUGGGGA